UGGAUCCAGACUUUGAUUAUGGCUCAGGAUGAACGCUAGCUACAGGCUUAACACAUGCAAGUCGAGGGGCAGCAUGAAGUUUGCUUGCAAACUUUGAUGGCGACCGGCGCACGGGUGAGUAACGCGUAUCGAACCUGCCUCAUACCCGGGGAUAGCCUUGCGAAAGUAAGAUUAAUACCCGAUGUUUCCGGCGCGCCGCAUGACGUGUCGGGCAAAGAUUUAUCAGUAUGAGAUGGCGAUGCGUCCCAUUAGCUUGUUGGCGGGGUAACGGCCCACCAAGGCAUCGAUGGGUAGGGGUUCUGAGAGGAAGGUCCCCCACAUUGGAACUGAGACACGGUCCAAACUCCUACGGGAGGCAGCAGUGAGGAAUAUUGGUCAAUGACGAGAGUCUGAACCAGCCAAGUAGCGUGCAGGAAGACGGCCCUCCGGGUUGUAAACUGCUUUUAGUUGGGAAUAAAGUGCAUCACGUGUGAUGUUUUGUAUGUACCAUCAGAAAAAGGACCGGCUAAUUCCGUGCCAGCAGCCGCGGUAAUACGGAAGGUCCGGGCGUUAUCCGGAUUUAUUGGGUUUAAAGGGAGCGCAGGCGGGCGUUUAAGUCAGUUGUGAAAUGCGGCGGCUCAACCGUCGAACUGCAGUUGAUACUGGACGCCUUGAGUGUACACAGGGAUGCCGGAAUUCAUGGUGUAGCGGUGAAAUGCUCAGAUAUCAUGAAGAACUCCGAUCGCGAAGGCAGGCAUCCGGGGUGCAACUGACGCUGAGGCUCGAAAGUGCGGGUAUCAAACAGGAUUAGAUACCCUGGUAGUCCGCACAGUAAACGAUGAAUACUCGCGGUUGGCGAUAUAUUGUCAGCCGCCAAGCGAAAGCGUUAAGUAUUCCACCUGGGGAGUACGCCGGCAACGGUGCAACUCAAAGGAAUUGACGGA
This 923-nucleotide ribosomal RNA is filed under the name uncultured Bacteroidota bacterium. RNAcentral's name for it is "bacterial SSU rRNA". It matches the Rfam family "Bacterial small subunit ribosomal RNA", at positions 1 to 917 of the family's 1533-position model. Lineage: Bacteria; Pseudomonadati; Bacteroidota. The record is from RNAcentral.